GGGGAAUAUUGCGCAAUGGGGGAAACCCUGACGCAGCAAUACCGCGUGAGUGAAGAAGGUUUUCGGAUCGUAAAGCUCUGUUAUUGGGGAAGAAAAAAAGACGGUACCCAAGAAGAAAGUCCCGGCUAACUACGUGCCAGCAGCCGCGGUAAUACGUAGGUGGCGAGCGUUGUCCGGAAUUACUGGGCGUAAAGGGCGCGUAGGCGGCUCUUUAAGUUAGAUGUGAAAACCCAGGGCUCAACCCUGGGAGUGCAUUUAAAACUGAAGGGCUCGAGUGCAGGAGAGGUAAGUGGAAUUCCUAGUGUAGCGGUGAAAUGCGUAGAUAUUAGGAGGAACACCAGUGGCGAAGGCGACUUACUGGACUGUAACUGACGCUGAGGCGCGAAAGCGUGGGGAGCAAACA
RNAcentral lists this ribosomal RNA (403 nucleotides) under uncultured Eubacteriales bacterium. RNAcentral's name for it is "bacterial SSU rRNA". It matches the Rfam family "Bacterial small subunit ribosomal RNA", at positions 356 to 774 of the family's 1533-position model. Lineage: Bacteria; Bacillati; Bacillota; Clostridia; Eubacteriales. The record is from RNAcentral.